Molecule: long non-coding RNA, 2043 nt
Filed under: Homo sapiens (human)
Lineage: Eukaryota; Metazoa; Chordata; Mammalia; Primates; Hominidae
Description: MIR646 host gene (MIR646HG)
Source: RNAcentral
AGAUGCUCCCAGGCUCUCCCGCAGUUUAAAGACUUAACUCAGCGGCUUUCAGGGCCUGUGGUUGAGGGACUCCGAAAGAACUGUUGCUGGUGGACCGGUUCAGGGUCUUGACUUCGCCACACAAAAGAACUUGAGAGCACGUCCAAAGUAAAGCUAAGACCUCUAGUACAGUGUUCAAUGGAACUGGUGAGAAAAGACGUCCUUGCUGUGUUCCUGAUAUGAAGAGGAAAGCAGUCCUUCUCCAUUAAGUAAAAUGCUGACAACAUGAGCCUCCCGUGGUCGGAACGGGCUUGUGAAGGCGGUGCUGGGGUGCACCAGGGCAGCAGCUACAGAAUGCACCAGCUGGAGUCGACAUUAAAGGGCCCCAUUUCCCAUUUGCUGCAGAAGAUGUUUAAUUGGAAGUCUCUCCCUGUCCUUUUACCCUCUGGUGCUGGGCACCAAUGAGAAGCUCAUCUGGCCCCGGGAUCCUGGCAGGACACUGGGAGCACUAUUUCCAUGGGCAGCAGGGUUGUUCCUGGAGACAUCACUGACCCAGGACACCUAGCACAAUGGCACUCGAUGUGAAAGUGGCUUCGUACAAAUCUGCCACUCAAGCCUAAAUAAGUGCAUUCCAGAAGAGCCGCAGCCCCUCUAACAGCUCCUGAGGUGAGGGAAACCCUAGGGAUGGGAAGUUGGAGCAGAAAGAGAUGGUGGCCUGAAGUCAACUGCAGUGAAAAUCUCUCCCCAUCAGCAAGUUUUGCAAAGCUAUGGCCACAGGGACACAUGACUGGGGCCCCUCCUAGUCUUGGAAGGAGCCCCCAUGGAAAUGAGGGCCUCACAGUGAAUCCACCUCUGAUCCUACUUCACCUGCAGUCAAAUGAGAAGAGAUUUCAAUCAGCUAAAGACACCCUAUCCCCUCUCCCCGACCCCUGCGACCCCAGGAGCUCCUGCCUUGUCACUGUGUCCCCAAACGAACCGCAUCUGAAUCAAGCCCCUUUCUCUCCCUAGUGGUCAACAUCUGGGCUGUGAUGGGCAGCUCCCACUCUUGCCUUAGAAUAUGACUGGAGAGGUGACUUCUCAUCACAUGGAGAAUAUGUUCACCCCAUGGUGCUUUCCACCCAAGCUGACCAUGGCUUGACUUUUUGGUGUAGUUGCUAGCUCUGUGCCAUCCUUGGCAAUGUGACCCUGGAGCAGCUGUCCCCAGUGUGCAUUUGGGGGAUUUCAUGUAAUUAUGAAUAGGAUGCAAAUUUUAUAGCCCCAGUGAAGGGAAACACCCCUGGCGAGGCUUCCCGGGGCCAGAGAGAGGACUCCACUGAGGGAGAUGGUGGCAGGGCCAUUCUUUGUGUCCUGCUUUUUUUUUUUUUUUUUUUUUUAACAUCCUCUUUAUGUCCUGAGAGCCAUGUGCAGAUGAGGAAAAAUGACAUGCAAUGCAUUUUUGCCUGCCACAAUGACUUUGCAAUCAUAACAAGCAAAAUGUUCUAAACAGUAAGUGAAUCGAGGAAGAUAUACUGCCAAGUCAGGAAGAAAAAAUCCACCUGUUCAGUGAUUUCAGGAACUGCUGAAGAAAAUCACCAGUGAGUAUCAGUUUCUGCAAGAGAAUCUAAUGCAGGCUUUGCUUCUCAUCGGAAUCCCCCAGCUGGUGUCUUGGUUGACUGAGAGUCUGGGGGAGAGGGCAGAGAAUGGAUUUAUUCUCUGCUAGGUUUUUAACAGUCAAGAAGGGCUGUGGUCCUAAGGGGCACUGGUCAAACCUUAGUGUGCAUCAGAAUUAUCUGGAUAAGGCUAGGCACAGUGGCUCACGCCUGUAAUCACAGCACUUUGGGAGGCUGAGGCGCGUGGAUCACCUGAGGUCAGAAGUUCAAGACCAGCCUGGCUCUUUUAGUAGAGAAACCCUAUGUCUAUUAAAAAGUACAAAAUUUAGCCAGGUGUGGUGGUGAGUGCCUGUAAUCCCAGCUACUUGGGAGGCUGAGGCAGGACAGUCACUUGAAUCUAGGAGGCAGAGGUUGCAGUGAACUGAGAUCGUGCCAUUGUGCUCCAGCCUGGGCAACAAGAGUGAAACUCUAUCUC